GGAAGAAGCAGGCUCCCAGCGGAGGAGCCUGAUGUGGGGCUCGAUCCCAUAACGCCGGGAUGACGCCCUGAGCCGAAGGCAGACACCCAACCGCUGUGCCACCCAGGCACCCCGAGAGAUGGCUGUUUUAUCCUGCAUACUUAUGAGCAGCUUAAAACCAUAUGAAAGAGAAUGUAUUCAUCUAUUACUUGUAUAAUCAUUUAUAAAAUGAUUUUGAGGAUUUCAAUGAGUCAAAAAAAAAAAAUGUGGACACCCCAUGACCCAGCAGUUUCAAUUCUAGGACUCCAUCUUAACGAAGAAUUCACUGAAGCACAGUUUGUAAGAGAGAAAAUUUAGAAACAACCUACAUGCCCAUCAAUAGGCAAAUGAGUAAGCCCAUGCUGGUGUGAAAAUUGAGAAAAGGAAACCUCAUUUAGAAUGGAGCCAGGAGGCCGGCAGGGGGAGCUCUCACGCCCAGCCCUGGCUGUCUACCGCAGACCCAAGGGGAAGAGAGGAACCUAGCAAGGGGAUACUCCUGCACUAUUCCAGCAAGAGGAGGGAACAUUUCUUCUUGCCCCAGCAACAGCCCAGCCAAUGACGGACAGUCACAGCCCAGCCACUGAGAAACCGCUAUACUUCAAGCUCCCAGUUUACUCCAAUGGACUUUUAGUUUAUAACCCCCGACUCCCCCCCUUUCCUCUAUAAAAGAGUGGUCCUCUGCUCGGUCAGGGAGUUGCUCCUGGUUUUGCUGGAGCCUGCUUGUCCCAGGUUGUAAUUCUCGGCGAUUCCCGAAUAAACCCAUCUGUUGCUUGUAAAAUAACCGGCUGCUCCAGAUGAUGCCGCAUGGAGGAGAAAAGAGCUCUCCGCGGAGGGAGCGCCUUGCCCAAAUUGCAAAAUUGUCACUCACUCUGGGGAAGCCAGAUGCCAUGGCAGGGAGACAGGCAAGCAGCCCUCUGGAUAGGACGACGUGGUGUGCAACGGAGGCCCCGCAGCCCCCAGCCAUGUGAGUGAGCCCCCAAGGAGGGGGACCCCGCAAACCUCCGGCCCCUACCAAGCCUUCAGACGAUGGAGGCUCUGGCCAACAUCUUGACUGCAAACCUCAGGAGAGACAGUGAGUCAGAACUUCCUAGCUCUGUUGCUCCUGAAUUUCCUGAGCUAUGGAACAGGGAGGUAGUAAAUUCUUUUUCAAUUUAUUUAUUUUUUAUUUUUUUAGAUUUUUAUUUAUUUAU
RNAcentral lists this long non-coding RNA (1208 nucleotides) under Ursus maritimus (polar bear). RNAcentral's name for it is "lncRNA (ENSUMAG00000008276.1)". Lineage: Eukaryota; Metazoa; Chordata; Mammalia; Carnivora; Ursidae. The record is from RNAcentral.